RNAcentral lists this ribosomal RNA (252 nucleotides) under uncultured bacterium. RNAcentral's name for it is "partial 16S ribosomal RNA". It matches the Rfam family "Bacterial small subunit ribosomal RNA", at positions 524 to 776 of the family's 1533-position model. The record is from RNAcentral.
UACAGAGACUGCAAGCGUUAUUCGGAUUCACUGGGCGUAAAGGGUGCGCAGGCGGCCAGGUGUGUCAGGUGUGAAAGCCCGGAGCUUAACUCCGGAAUUGCGCCUGAAACUACUUGGCUAGAGCAUUGGAGAGGGUAGCGGAAUUCACGGUGUAGCAGUGAAAUGCGUAGAUAUCGUGAGGAACCCCGGGGGCGAAGGCGGCUACCUGGACAAUUGCUGACGCUCAGGCACGAAAGCGUGGGAGCAAAAGGG